RNAcentral lists this ribosomal RNA (650 nucleotides) under uncultured bacterium. Its description in RNAcentral is "bacterial SSU rRNA". It matches the Rfam family "Bacterial small subunit ribosomal RNA", at positions 48 to 746 of the family's 1533-position model. The record is from RNAcentral.
CUAACACAUGCAAGUCGAGCGGUCCUUCGGGACAGCGGCGGACGGGUUAGUAACGCGUGGGAACGUGCCCUUUAGUACGGAAUAGCCAUUGGAAACGAUGAUUAAUACCGUAUACGCCCUUCGGGGGAAAGAUUUAUCGCUAAAGGAUCGGCCCGCGUUAGAUUAGGUAGUUGGUGGGGUAAUGGCCUACCAAGCCUACGAUCUAUAGCUGGUUUGAGAGGAUGAUCAGCAACACUGGGACUGAGACACGGCCCAGACUCCUACGGGAGGCAGCAGUGGGGAAUCUUGGACAAUGGGCGCAAGCCUGAUCCAGCCAUGCCGCGUGAGCGAUGAAGGCCUUAGGGUUGUAAAGCUCUUUCGCCAGGGAAGAUAAUGACGGUACCUGGUAAAGAAACCCCGGCUAACUCCGUGCCAGCAGCCGCGGUAAUACGGAGGGGGUUAGCGUUGUUCGGAAUUACUGGGCGUAAAGCGCACGUAGGCGGAUUAGUCAGUCAGGGGUGAAAUCCCGAGGCUCAACCUCGGAACUGCCUUUGAUACUGCUAGUCUAGAGUUCGAGAGAGGUGAGUGGAAUUCCGAGUGUAGAGGUGAAAUUCGUAGAUAUUCGGAGGAACACCAGUGGCGAAGGCGGCUCACUGGCUCGAUACUGACGC